GAUGAAGAACGCAGCGAAAUGCGAUAAGUAAUGUGAAUUGCAGAAUUCAGUGAAUCAUCGAAUCUUUGAACGCAUAUUGCGCCCCUUGGUAUUCCGAGGGGCAUGCCUGUUCGAGCGUCAUUAUAACCCCUCAAGCUCAGCUUGGUGUUGGGGCCUGCUGCACUGGCAGCCCUUAAAAUCAGUGGCGGCGCCAUCUGGCUCUAAGCGUAGUAAUUCUUCUCGCUAUGGAGUCCUGGUGGAUGCUUGCCAUCAACCCCCAAUUUUUCUAUGGUUGACCUCGGAUCAGGUAGGGAUACCCGCUGAACUUAAGCAUAUCAAUAAGCGGAGGA
This 329-nucleotide unclassified non-coding RNA is filed under the name soil metagenome. RNAcentral describes it as "partial contains 5.8S ribosomal RNA, internal transcribed spacer 2, and large subunit ribosomal RNA". The stretch from base 1 to 120 matches the Rfam family "5.8S ribosomal RNA", at positions 35 to 154 of the family's 154-position model. The record is from RNAcentral.